Adelges cooleyi (spruce gall adelgid) is the source of this 471-nucleotide long non-coding RNA. RefSeq lists it as uncharacterized. The record is from RefSeq and is a predicted model, not a curated record. NCBI's taxonomy places the organism in Eukaryota, Metazoa, Arthropoda, Insecta, Hemiptera, Adelgidae. The transcript has 5 exons.
CAUUCUUUAUGUUAAUAAUUAUAACUAUUUGAAUAAAAUGAAUUUGAUAAGCUUAAUUUGUAUGGUAACCACCAUAUUUUGCAUAGUGGUGUCCGUGUAUGCGGGUAAAGAUGAUCCUCCACCUUCAAAUCCACCUGCAGAAGCUCCUCCUGCCCCUGGCUCUCAUCCUACUGGGGUAAUACCACCUCAUUACCCUCAAGUACCAGCACCACAACUACCACCAGAUCCACAAAACGACGACGACGACUAACAACAAAGGUGAAGUAUCCAAGAUAUGUGUCACAUUCUAAAAAUACAUAUGCUUACUAAUAUGUGUAUAUUGUGAAAUGUUCAUCUUUGUUUAUCAUAAAUUUAUUGUGUUUCAACCUUCCGAUUUCUCUAAUAACAAUAUAUUACAAAUAACAUAUUUCGUUACGUAUCAUAUAAAUUAUAUUAUGUAUGUUAUAUAACACUGUCUACCAAUAAAAAUAA